AUAACAACAAAAAAAUGCAGAGCUUUCAGACCUCAAAUAAUGCAAAGAAAACAAGUUCAUAUUCAUAAAGUUUUAAGAGUUCAGAAAUCAAUAUUUGGUAGAAUAACCCUGGAUUCUCCACCAGUCUCACACACUUUAUGCCACUCCUGGUGCAAAAAUUCAGGCAGUUUAGCUUGGUUUGAUGGCUUGUGAUCAUCCUUCCAGAGAGAAAGACAGAGAGAGAGAGGGAGGUAUAAGGAGCAGAUACACAGUGCACAGAAAGAGAGAGAGAGAGAGGUGGGUGGAGAGAGGCAGGGAAUAGCAGUGUGAUAGAGCUCCUCGUGCGCGCGCGUGAACCCUACCUCCAGAGCGUGAACGAGCCUCAGAGAGAUAACACUGAGCUUCUCCGCUUCCUCUUAGAUUAAUAUCGCUCUCAUUCCUUCAUAUUAGUACCUGUAGCUUUAACCAGGCUUUAAAUGAGCUGUCUGAGAGUCGCUGGAGGAGUUUGGGGAGCGGAAGUUCUUGCUGAAGGAAGGAGGAGCCGCUCGCUGCAGCCUGUAGGAAGGCGGAGUUGGACAUCCAACCCCGCCCACAUCCAACUCCGCCCAUGUCCAACUCCGCCUUACGUCUAAAGCAACACCCACCUUACGUCCGUCACGAACGCCUACAUUUACUCCAGGUAAACAGGAAUUGUAGCCGAGAAAGCAGCUAAAGCAUCUAUCUGAUUUAUAUCUCCGGUUAUGGCGCAUCCAACACAUGUCCAGGCCACUCCUGACCCUUCACGGUUUGGCCAGUGUGGUGUUUUCAAAUGCCCCUGCUUACAGUUUCCUUCAUCUCUAAACUGCACACCUACAGCACACUUUUAUUGUGUCUAUUGCAGCCAUACAAUACUAUGCAAAGACCAGUUCAGACAUCAUGUAUCUCUGUGCAGCAGUGCAACCAAGACCAUUAUAGCAGAAGUGUUUAAUCCACAGACUGUUGCUACUUCUGAUGCACGUCCAGCUCCCCCUCUGCCAGCUACUCCUGAUACACCUUCUCCCAGUUCUGGUCUUGCUUCCUCUGUGCAUGGUAUUAAUUAUAUUAAUUAUUAUAUUUUCCCUCAGGAAAGUUCAGCGUGUUGAACGUGUGACUGAUGAAGGAGAUAGAAUGGGCAACGUCUCCUUUGAACAGAUACAGUUCUGGAUGAGGGUGACAAAGCUUUUUUAAAGCUGUCACUGGUUUGUCGUCUCUUCCGGGACAUUGUUUGGACAACAAUCAUUCCGGGCCCGGGCACAUUUCGAGUGGCUUGACAGUGUAGUGCCAUGAAAACAUCACAGUGCUGCAUGUAAAGACGAGUUUCGCAGGAUGUACGAACUGCAGUGCUGCCAGAACUGUCAAGAAACUUAUAAAGACUACAUACUGGGCUACGUUGGGCAUGGGAGACGAGGGGAGCUUGUGGCAUUUUACAGCGAAAACGAGCACCCUGGAUUCUGCAGCCAGCUUCAUGAAUGGCUGGGUGUGUGAGUGGCUGGGUGUGUGAGUGGCUGAGUGUGAGUGGCUGGGUGUUGCAUUUUUAAAUAAAGACUUCUGUAUUUGUUUGACCAAAGCAUGUAACCAAACAUUUUAAAGGCUAGUGUGCCAAUAAAUGCCAAUAAAGAUAUUGUAUUAGCUUGGACAAA
This is a long non-coding RNA of Astyanax mexicanus (Mexican tetra), 1637 nucleotides long. RefSeq lists it as uncharacterized. NCBI's taxonomy places the organism in Eukaryota, Metazoa, Chordata, Actinopteri, Characiformes, Acestrorhamphidae. The transcript is spliced from 5 exons. The record is from RefSeq and is a predicted model, not a curated record.